RNAcentral lists this ribosomal RNA (253 nucleotides) under uncultured bacterium. RNAcentral describes it as "partial 16S ribosomal RNA". It matches the Rfam family "Bacterial small subunit ribosomal RNA", at positions 524 to 776 of the family's 1533-position model. The record is from RNAcentral.
UACGUAGGGGGCAAGCGUUGUCCGGAUUUACUGGGCGUAAAGGGCGCGUAGGCGGCGCGGUAAGUCACUUGUGAAAUCUCUGAGCUUAACUCAGAUCGGCCAAGUGAUACUGCAGUGCUAGAGUGUGGAAGGGGCAAUCGGAAUUCUUGGUGUAGCGGUGAAAUGCGUAGAUAUCAAGAGGAACACCUGAGGUGAAGACGGGUUGCUGGGCCAACACUGACGCUGAUGCGCGAAAGCCAGGGGAGCAAACGGG